AGAGUUUGAUCCUGGCUCAGGACUAACGCUGGCGGCGUGCCUAACACAUGCAAGUCGAACGAGGUAGCAAUACCUAGUGGCAGACGGGUGAGUAACGCGUAGGUAAUGUGCCCUCCUGCGGGGGAUACCGUUCCGAAAGGGACGUUAAUACCGCAUAACAUGCUCCAGGGGCAUCUUUGGAGUAUCAAACUUCCGGGGUAGGGGGAGCAGCCUGCGUUCUAUCAGCUUGUUGGUGAGGUAAUGGCUCACCAAGGCUACGACGGAUAACUGGUCUGAGAGGAUGACCAGUCACACUGGGACUGAGACACGGCCCAGACUCCUACGGGAGGCAGCAGUGAGGAAUAUUGCGCAAUGGGCGAAAGCCUGACGCAGCGACGCCGCGUGGAGGAUGAAGGCCCUCGGGUUGUAAACUCCUGUCAGUGGGGAAGAGAACGGACGGUACCCACUGAGGAAGCUUCGGCUAACUACGUGCCAGCAGCCGCGGUAAGACGUAGGGAGCAAGCGUUGUCCGGAAUUACUGGGCGUAAAGAGCUCGUAGGCGG
This 542-nucleotide ribosomal RNA is filed under the name uncultured bacterium. RNAcentral's name for it is "bacterial SSU rRNA". It matches the Rfam family "Bacterial small subunit ribosomal RNA", at positions 8 to 578 of the family's 1533-position model. The record is from RNAcentral.